Molecule: ribosomal RNA, 277 nt
Filed under: endosymbiont of Sphenophorus levis
Lineage: Bacteria; Pseudomonadati; Pseudomonadota; Gammaproteobacteria
Description: partial 16S ribosomal RNA
Source: RNAcentral
GGUACAUGGGCGCAGCUGAUGCAGCCAUGCCGCGUGAGUGAGAAGGCCUUCGGGUUGUAAAGCUCUUUUUUUGGGACGAACGGCUGGCGGUUCAUAACUUGUUGUCCUGACCUUACCAACAGACAACGCCCACGGUAAUACCCUGCCCCCCGGCCCUAUAAUUAAGGAUCAUGCGGGACCAGGCAGAUGGCGGUCGUCAGACGCGACUGACACGGAAUCGCGCCGGGUGAGGGGGGGGGGGGUCGCUGUCAAUGUGGGGUUCGUUCGGUUGGGCGCG